This 522-nucleotide long non-coding RNA is filed under the name Prunus persica (peach). RNAcentral describes it as "long non-coding RNA (PPER_LNC008158)". Lineage: Eukaryota; Viridiplantae; Streptophyta; Magnoliopsida; Rosales; Rosaceae. The record is from RNAcentral.
AAAAUACAAAUGUAACCAAAUCAGUGAUUUAAUUGGCAAAUGCCAUGACCGAUAUGUAUUGCAUAUGUAUUGCACAUGUAUAGCCCUUUAUUGCUUGUGUAUUGCCCCCGUAUAUCCUUUUUUUUUUUUUAAAGUCUGUUGGAAUAAAUUUAUAGGGGGAUUAUGAAGUUUUGUUAUUGCCAUUGUAUAGCCUUUUAUUGCUUGUGUAUUGCUACUGUAUUGCCCCUGUAUAUCUUUUUUUUCUUCAAGUCUGUUGGAAUAAAUUUAUAGGAGUAUGUGUAUUGCCAUUGUAUAACCUUUUAUUGCUUGUGUAUUGCUACUGUAUUGCCCCUGUAUAUCUUUUUUUUUCAAGUCUGUGUUGGAAUAAAUUUAUAGGAGUAUGUGUAUUGUCAUUGUAUAGCCCUUUAUUGCCUGUAUAUUGCCAGUGUAUUGCCUUCGUAUAUCCCUUUUUUUUUAAAGUCUGUAUUGCAUGAAUGAAGGUGGGGAUGAGGAUGAGAAUGACAUACCUACCCCCGAUUCGAC